Molecule: ribosomal RNA, 324 nt
Filed under: uncultured eukaryote
Lineage: Eukaryota
Description: partial 18S ribosomal RNA
Rfam family: Eukaryotic small subunit ribosomal RNA
Source: RNAcentral
CCCUUAGAUGUCCUGGGCCGCACGCGCGUUACACUGAUGCAUUCAACGAGCUUAUAACCUUGGCCGAGAGGCCUGGGCAAUCUUGUUAACGUGCAUCGUGAUAGGGAUAGAUUAUUGAAAUUAUUAAUCUUGAACGAGGAAUUCCUAGUAAACGCAGAUCAUCAAUCUGCAUUGAUUACGUCCCUGCCCUUUGUACACACCGCCCGUCGCUCCUACCGAUUGAAUGUUCCGGUGAGCUCUUCGGACUGCGCGGUCUGCAGUUUCUGCGUUCCGUGCGGAAAGUUGUGCAAACCUUAACAUUUAGAGGAAGGAGAAGUCGUAACA